RNAcentral lists this long non-coding RNA (914 nucleotides) under Amborella trichopoda. RNAcentral describes it as "long non-coding RNA (ATRI_LNC000349)". The record is from RNAcentral. Lineage: Eukaryota; Viridiplantae; Streptophyta; Magnoliopsida; Amborellales; Amborellaceae.
GAAUACAUGAGUAGGAUUAGAUUCUUGAUUAAGGAGACAUGGAUUAAUAAGAGGGGAUAUAGUUAGAUCGUACUUGGAUCGAGAUUGAGAAGAAAGUAAACACUCUUCAUGUGGGUGAUAAUUUGCAUCCAUAAAGUGAAGUGGAUUACUUCUUGCUUGAAACUCUGCCCAUAGAAAUGAAUGGUCAAAGCUAUAUUCUCACUCGUGUUCAUGAAUGGGAAAGCAAAGAAAUUAACUCUUUAAGAGUUUGUCCUCUUCCUUUUCGAUUCAUUCCAGUAGUCCGUGUUUGUGGAUUCCCUCUCAUUCAACUAUGAUGUACUCUUGAAAUCAAGCUAGGGUCUUUAUUCAGACCAGGCCGCCUGCACCAAACCAUGCAUUGAAACUCUUCUCUGCAAGCUCCUGGGCUCUAUUUAUACAAGAACAUACAUGACUAUCAAGUGGCAAUGUCCCAAAAGCCAGAAAAGGGGCCCAAGGAGUUCCAUACCUACCUCAGAGGAUUAAACAACUAAACUAAUCUAGAUGUAGCUCCUACCCUCACAAGUACAACUGGCCCCAUAGAUAUCCAAGCAGUGCAAAAUCAUGAGGGGAGAUGCCCACAAAGAGGAAAGUCAGGCUAAUUUGGAGACCAGCUCCAUCUGACCUAUUCAGUGUGUGCAUUCUAUUACACUCUUGAGGAUUGAUUACCCCACACUCAACAAGGUCUGGUUCCUUCCAUUCCCUAUUAAGAUUCAAUAAUUGAAUCAUAUCGCUGGCUAUACAGAAGUAUAUAUCAUGCUAAAUCGUAGCAUCGUUUCCCAAGAGAGUGAAGAGAUGGCCGCACCUCUUCCUUCACUGCCCUGCAUGGGAAUCACCCGGGCCUAGUACAACUGUUUGCAAUAGUAUGGGUGGUGCUGGAAACCAUUGUACAACCUCUU